UACGGGGGGUGCGAGCGUUGUUCGGAUUUACUGGGCGUAAAGGGCGCGUAGGCGGCCACUCAAGUCGAACGUGAAAACUCGGGGCUCAACCCCGAGCCCGCGUUCGAUACUGGGCGGCUAGAGUCUGGUAGGGGGAUCUGGAAUUCCUGGUGUAGCGGUGGAAUGCGCAGAUAUCAGGAGGAACACCGGUGGCGAAGGCGGGAUCCUGGGCCAGUACUGACGCUGAGGUGCGAAAGCGUGGGGAGCAAACAGG
This 253-nucleotide ribosomal RNA is filed under the name uncultured bacterium. RNAcentral describes it as "partial 16S ribosomal RNA". It matches the Rfam family "Bacterial small subunit ribosomal RNA", at positions 524 to 776 of the family's 1533-position model. The record is from RNAcentral.